This 497-nucleotide ribosomal RNA is filed under the name uncultured bacterium. Its description in RNAcentral is "partial 16S ribosomal RNA". It matches the Rfam family "Bacterial small subunit ribosomal RNA", at positions 28 to 507 of the family's 1533-position model. The record is from RNAcentral.
GAUGAACGCUGGCGGCGUGCCUAAUACAUGCAAGUCGAGCGAACGGACGAGAAGCUUGCUUCUCUGAUGUUAGCGGCGGACGGGUGAGUAACACGUGGAUAACCUACCUAUAAGACUGGGAUAACUUCGGGAAACCGGAGCUAAUACCGGAUGAUAUUUUGAACCGCAUGGUUCAAAAGUGAAAGACGGUCUUGCUGUCACUUAUAGAUGGAUCCGCGCUGCAUUAGCUAGUUGGUAAGGUAACGGCUUACCAAGGCAACGAUGCAUAGCCGACCUGAGAGGGUGAUCGGCCACACUGGAACUGAGAAACGGUCCAGACUCCUACGGGAGGAAGCAGUAGGGAAUCUUCCGCAAUGGGCGAAAGCCUGACGGAGCAACGCCGCGUGAGUGAUGAAGGUCUUCGGAUCGUAAAACUCUGUUAUUAGGGAAGAACAUAUGUGUAAGUAACUGUGCACAUCUUGACGGUACCUAAUCAGAAAGCCACGGCUAACUACGUG